Molecule: unclassified non-coding RNA, 229 nt
Filed under: uncultured fungus
Lineage: Eukaryota; Fungi
Description: sequence contains ITS1
Source: RNAcentral
UAUAUUUGCGCUAUUAUAAGCACUAUAACAUUAUCCAUUCUAUAACUUUGUAGGUAUAAUUCAUAGCUAGGGCUUUCAAUAUCAUUUCUAACAUUGUAAUCAUCCCAAGCUACACAUAGUGCACAGGUGUGAGAGGUGGAUGUGUGAUCAAGGUGUGCACAUAGGCUAGCUACAACCUUUCUCAACAUUCAUUUCAUUAAUGAUCCUUCCGCAGGUUCACCUACGGAAA